Long non-coding RNA from Ipomoea nil (Japanese morning glory), 750 nucleotides. RefSeq lists it as uncharacterized. Lineage: Eukaryota; Viridiplantae; Streptophyta; Magnoliopsida; Solanales; Convolvulaceae. The record is from RefSeq and is a predicted model, not a curated record. The transcript has 2 exons.
GUUUUGUACAAUAUCUAUGAAAAAUUACAUCUGGUAAUUAAACGUAAUAUCAAAGGCAGAUACUAUACUUGUUAUUCCAUCAAGUGGGACCAGUAGCUAAAUGCAUCACCAAAAUAAACUAAUAAUAAGAAAAGUGAGCUCCAUUAGCGUAGAUGAGAGCUGCAGUCUCAUCCAUCCUGUCUAGAUCUGGAAUCAAUAACUAUGGACUCUUCCUAGUUCCUAUCAGUCCCACACAAAACUGUUGCACUAGAACUCAGGAUUUUCAUGAACAUUGUUGUAAAAAUCAGCCUAUGCAGCUAGGCGCCCCUAGGCCAAAGGGAAGAAUGGGAAAGUCACUAUAUUAUGCUCUUGGCCAACUAGCCUCCCUAGUCAGCCAACUUUUUUUUCGUUUGUUUCGCUAUGUGCGUGUUUGUAUUACUGUAUUUACUACUUUGAUGGAUUGUAUGUGUUAUGGUAGGGAUUAUUAUGUGUUUCUAGAGUACUAUAUGCUAUUGAACAUUUGUAUUUUAUGGAAGGAAUACAUGCUAGAAGCCUGGAAGUCCAAACAAACCAGAUUUUUUUUUUAGUUAGGCACUCAUCAAACAUCCAAUGAGUGCCUAGCAAUUUCUACAACACUGUACAUGACAUCGUCAGAAAUCCUAUUGUUUAUUUUAUUUUAUUUCCUCUUAUCUUAUCUCAGUAUGCAGGCAGAUCUAUUAUUCUUAGGCACAGCAUUCUCACCCGUCAAAAAUUUUUCUCCUGUCUUCUAUU